GACGAACGCUGGCGGCGUGCUUAACACAUGCAAGUCGAACGGUGAAGGGACUGGUUUUGCUGGUCCUGGAUGAGUGGCGAACGGGUGAGUAACACGUGAGUAACCUGCCCCCUUCUUCUGGAUAACCGCAUGAAAGUGUGGCUAAUACGGGAUAUUCUGGGUCUGUCGCAUGGUGGGCCUGGGAAAGAUUGCGCCUUUUUUGGUGUUUUUGGUGGGGGAUGGGCUCGCGGCCUAUCAGCUUGUUGGUGGGGUGAUGGCCUACCAAGGCGGUGACGGGUAGCCGGCCUGAGAGGGUGGACGGUCACACUGAGACUGAGACACGGCCCAGACUCCUACGGGAGGCAGCAGUGGGGAAUAGUGCACAAUGGGCGCAAGCCUGAUGCAGCGACGCCGCGUGAGGGAUGGAGGCCUUCGGGUUGUGAACCUCUUUCGCCAGUGAAGCAGGCCUGCCUCUUUUUGUGGGUGGGUUGACGGUAGCUGGAUAAGAAGCGCCGGCUAACUACGUG
Molecule: ribosomal RNA, 506 nt
Filed under: uncultured bacterium
Lineage: Bacteria
Description: partial 16S ribosomal RNA
Rfam family: Bacterial small subunit ribosomal RNA
Source: RNAcentral